UAAGACGGAGGUGGCAAGCGUUGUUCGGAAUUACUGGGCGUGAAGGGCGUGUAGGCGGCCUGUUAAGUUAGGUGUGAAAGACCAUGGCUCAACCAUGGAAUUGUGCUUAAAACUGGCGGGCUUGAGUAUAGGAGAGGAGAGUGGAAUUCCCAGUGUAGCGGUGAAAUGCGUAGAUAUUGGGAGGAACACCGGUGGCGAAGGCGGCUCUCUGGACUAAUACUGACGCUGAGGCGCGAAAGCCAGGGGAGCGAACGGGAUUAGAUACCCCGGUAGUCCUGGCUGUAAACGAUGGACACUAGGUGUGGGAGGUAUCGAAUCCUUCUGUGCCGGAGCUAACGCAUUAAGUGUCCCGCCUGGGGAGUACGUUCGCAAGAAUA
RNAcentral lists this ribosomal RNA (377 nucleotides) under uncultured bacterium. Its description in RNAcentral is "bacterial SSU rRNA". It matches the Rfam family "Bacterial small subunit ribosomal RNA", at positions 521 to 896 of the family's 1533-position model. The record is from RNAcentral.